UACGGGGGGGGCAAGCGUUGUUCGGAAUUACUGGGCGUAAAGGGCUCGUAGGCGGCCAACUAAGUCAGACGUGAAAUCCCCAGGCUCAACCUGGGAACUGCGUCUGAUACUGGAUGGCUUGAAUCCGGGAGAGGGAUGCAGAAUUCCAGGUGUAGCGGUGAAAUGCGUAGAUAUCAAGAGGAACACCUGAGGUGAAGACGGGUUGCUGGGCCAACACUGACGCUGAGGCGCGAAAGCCAGGGGAGCAAACGGG
RNAcentral lists this ribosomal RNA (253 nucleotides) under uncultured bacterium. Its description in RNAcentral is "partial 16S ribosomal RNA". It matches the Rfam family "Bacterial small subunit ribosomal RNA", at positions 524 to 776 of the family's 1533-position model. The record is from RNAcentral.